This 229-nucleotide ribosomal RNA is filed under the name uncultured bacterium. RNAcentral's name for it is "partial 16S ribosomal RNA". It matches the Rfam family "Bacterial small subunit ribosomal RNA", at positions 568 to 796 of the family's 1533-position model. The record is from RNAcentral.
AGUGUAGGCGGCUAUUUAAGUCGGAUGUGAAAGCCCCGGGCUCAACCUGGGAAUCGCAUUCGAAACUGAAUAGCUAGAGUUUGGUAGAGGUAAGUGGAAUUCCGGGUGUAGCGGUGAAAUGCGUAGAUAUCCGGAGGAACAUCAGUGGCGAAGGCGGCUUACUGGACCAAAACUGACGCUGAGGCUCGAAAGCGUGGGGAGCAAACAGGAUUAGAUACCCUGGUAGUCC